This 478-nucleotide ribosomal RNA is filed under the name uncultured bacterium. Its description in RNAcentral is "partial 16S ribosomal RNA". It matches the Rfam family "Bacterial small subunit ribosomal RNA", at positions 28 to 523 of the family's 1533-position model. The record is from RNAcentral.
GACGAACGCUGGCGGCGUGCUUAACACAUGCAAGUCGAACGGUGAGGCCCUUCGGGGUACACGAGUGGCGAACGGGUGAGUAACACGUGGGUGAUCUGCCCUGCACUUCGGGAUAAGCCUGGGAAACUGGGUCUAAUACCGGAUAGGACCCUGGGAUGCAUGUCCUGGGGUGGAAAGCUUUUGCGGUGUGGGAUGGGCCCGCGGCCUAUCAGCUUGUUGGUGGGGUGAUGGCCUACCAAGGCGACGACGGGUAGCCGGCCUGAGAGGGUAACCGGCCACACGGGGACUGAGAUACGGCCCAGACUCCUACGGGAGGCAGCAGUGGGGAAUAUUGCUCAAUGGGCGCAAGCCUGAUGCAGCGACGCCGCGUGGGGGAUGACGGCCUUCGGGUUGUAACCCUCUUUCAGCACCGACGAAGCGCAAGUGACGGUAGGUGCAGAAGAAGGACCGGCCAACUACGUGCCAGCCGCCGCUGUAA